This 484-nucleotide ribosomal RNA is filed under the name uncultured bacterium. Its description in RNAcentral is "partial 16S ribosomal RNA". It matches the Rfam family "Bacterial small subunit ribosomal RNA", at positions 30 to 507 of the family's 1533-position model. The record is from RNAcentral.
AUUGAACGCUGGCGGCAGGCCUAACACAUGCAAGUCGAGCGGAUGAAGGGAGCUUGCUCCUGGAUUCAGCGGCGGACGGGUGAGUAAUGCCUAGGAAUCUGCCUGGUAGUGGGGUAUAACGUCCGGAAACGGGCGCUAAUACCGCAUACGUCCUGAGGGAGAAAGUGGGGGGUCUUCGGACCUCACGCUCUCAGAUGAGCCUAGGUCGGAUUAGCUAGUUGGUGGGGUAAAGGCCUACCAAGGCGACGAUCCGUAACUGGUCUGAGAGGAUGAUCGGUCACACUGGAACGGAGACACGGUCCAGACUCCUAAGGGAGGCAGCAGUGGGGAAUGUUGGACAAUGGGCGAAAGCCUGAUACAGCCAUGCCGCGUGUGUGAAGAAGGUCUUCCGAUUGGAAAGCACUUUAAGUUGGGAGGAAGGGCAGUAAGUUAAUACCUUGCUGUUUUGACGUUACCAACUGAAUAAGCACCGGCUAACUUCGUG